UGAUGUUGGCAACAGCAAAGCUAUCCCUUCCCAAAUCUGUCUUCUGUCACCUGCCCUCGGUGAUUAGCAAGGCCUUCUGAUGUCACCAAAAGCGGAGUGAGGGCAGGAAGGGGUGGGAGUGGGAAACAGAGCCAUAGAAACUCAGACCAGGUUUCCAAAGGGACCCUGCCAACCCUAUUCUGGGUUUACGGUAAGUAGUGGUUGUCAUGAUUCUGGCAAGCACGUGUCCUGUGUUUCAUACAACAGUCCCGAUUUCAAAUACUUCUCCUGGUCGUUGAUGUAAGCACACUUGGCCUGGUCACACUGUGGGUCCUGAUUUUUUUUUUUUUUUUAGAGGAGUACUGGAAAUAUGCUCAUCUUAUCUUUAGGGCUGAGGUCUCAUAAACGGUCCUACUCCUGCCACCCUUUGGCAAAUUUCCUCACGGCUGUCACUGCCCACCGGGACCUGGACGGCCACAGGUUGCCACGAGGGUUGGGGCUUGGGAAGGGAGCUGGAGGCACAAAGAGUUGGCGACCUUGAACUACACACUGGCAGUCCAUACAGCACACUCGCUUUGGGCUAGUAAACACGAAGUGGAUGUUAAUUUGUUGGGGGGAAGGGAUCCCCCCUUCGUUUGCCCAUCUGGGCAGGUCACAAAUCUUACUGCGACCGAUGAAACACCAUUAGCACGACCUUACUAAAGCCCACGUGCAAGGAGCCAGGGAGUCAACGGUCAGAAGCGUCUCCACUGAGGCCCAGGGGAUCUCACCAGGAGGUGAGAGUGACCUCUGACAAACUCCACAGGCCCUCGAGGGUUUGUCAGUGGUGCAGAGAAAGGCCAACAUUCCUGCUGACCGUGCAACGCAGUCCGUGUCCCUCUACGGGAACCUUGUCACCACAACACAGCGCCCUCAGGUCCUGCCUCAUCCUCAGUUUGGUUCCGGGUACUGCAAAUGGGGGACCAAAGGCCAGCUCCAGGAGAGGUGGUGCUGGCAGAGUGGGGCGGGGGCAGGGGGAGCCAAAGCGAGAGGAGGAAGAGGAGGAAGAGGGCAGAGGAAGGGCGCCAGGGCGAGGGCCCAAAACCUAGAGGACCCGCCGACCGCAGCCUCAGGGUCAGGAUGGGUGCAGGCCGGGGGGGGCGCGAGGCCAGGGUCAGCCAGGCCUCUCGGGCUUGGAAGCCACACCCGCACGUCUCUGCAGCGCAAAGGAAGGAGAGCGGCAAAGGAGGCUGCCCCUGCGUGAACUGUUUCCAUCUCUCUGAGGUCCAUCGCCACCCUCUUCCGCCUCACGUUGUCUCCUUCCUGGGACCCUCUUGCCUGCCUGCCUCCUGUGCGUCCAUGGCAUCGGCGUCCGCCCCCCCGCCCCCCUGCAUCUCUUCCUUUCUUCUUUCCCCAUCUGGCAGUUCCCCAAAGUACUUUCUGUGCCAUGGAGUCUCCAGUCACCACUUCUUGUUGCCCUGAGGGCAGGUGUGCCAGGGCGCCUGCCUUCACAGCUGCUCCUGGAGGUGACGCACAUCCUGCCUCUUGGCCUCACCUUUGCUGUGGCCGCCAUGCCCUGGGCAGCAGGGCCUCCCCAGAGGAGAGCUUGUUCUGGGGAUUACAGGUGGCUUUGGCAGAACUCCAUCUUCUGAGUCGCACUGUUCUCUGGCGCGGGGCGGGGGGGGUCAGGCCUUCCCCUUGGGUAGGAGUAAGGUUUGCAGCUCCACAGCCUAGGGCCUCCAGCCAUCCCCUCCUCAAUUUCACAGUGUAGACGCCAUGGCCUACAUGGGAUGUGGGUCCUGCUGAGGGCCCACGCCUUUGGCUGCCUGGCCUAAGUGACAUCAUAACAAAAAGCAGAACAUUCCCAACUGUUGUUCUUUUUUUGAAAAAUAUAUUGCAGGAGUUCCCUUGUGGCUCAGUGGGUUAAGGAUCUGGCAUUGUUACAGCUGCAGAGCAUGUUCGAUUUCUGGCCUGGAAACUUGUGCAUGCUGCGGGUAUGGCCAAGAAAAAAGAUACCUAUCUAUGCCUAUAUCUAUAGAGCAAAGGUGAAAAGCCUCUAAAAAAACAAUUUCUGAAAUUUCUCCUCCCUGCACUUGACCUCUGUGGUAAGGGGUGGGAGAUACAGAUCCGUCUAGUUUUGCUGCUCCAUUACAUUGACAGAAUAGUUUCAUUAAAUGUUACUUUAGAUGCAUUUAGAGUAAAGAGAACCAGCUCUAACUCUGUAGCCUUCUCUUAUUACUAGAGAAAGAACAUUCGAGGGAAAGAUUCCUUGAAAGCAGAUUUUCAUACCAAUGGGAGCACAUGAGUCCAAAAUGGAAGAACUUGAUAUAUCCCAAACUUUGACCACCAGAGUCACUGACCUGUUUUGUGGGACUAUGGAGUGGAGCCUGGUCCUACAGCAUUAGGAACAAAGGCAGGGAGGGCAAUUAGACGGGGGGUUCACUUGGGUCCAAGGAUCCAGCUGGCUGUUCUAGCACCGCCCCCAAAGGGUAGGGAAGUGCCACUAGAUGGGCCCAACUCUAGGGCUCUUAUUCAGCAGCCCCAUUGAGGUCCUGUCUCCAUCUGAGGGGAGAUAGGAAGUGGGGGGUGAGGAGGGAGGGGGAAAGUCCCCGACAGCUGCACUUUGCAACUGGAGAAUAAAGCGCCAAGGCUUUGAUCUUUUCUUCCUGUCCCUUCACGUUUAAUCUUGCUUUUCUAAUUUCCUUCUUCAUUGCAUAUUUGACAAACCCAGCUACUUCAGAAUCUAGGGAAUCUUGUAAAUAAUGUGUUAUCUUUCCUCCUCCAAACCCAAGAGGCUUGGGCUCACCUGACCUCUGUGGUUUGCAUAAAACCAUCGGGGGCUCCAGAGGAAUAUCUACCUUUGCAAAAGUUGUAUCAUCGCUGAACCCCAUGCUGCAAGGAGCAGCUGAAAUCAUCUAGUCCAGCCUCAUCAUUUUCUACAUGAGGAAACUGCUGUCCAGGGAGGUUGGGAGGCCCAUGAAAUAGCACAGGCUGAGACCCAGGACUUGCAACUCUCAAUCCAGGUUUUUUAGUAGCAUCAUCCUUCAAGCGGUUUUGAAUCCAUGCCUGAUUAUUGGGAAAUAAUGUAAAGGGCCACAGUCACGCAAUCAACUUUCAGAGAAUAUAUAGUCUAUCUCUGUGGACCUGCUCCUUCCACGUAGGAUCCAAAGAGAAAUAUAGGAAUACACUAAAGUCAGGUUAGUGAUUCAUGAAAACCCAGCCAAAUCCCCAUGGCUGCUUUUACACAAAACCUCAACAAGUAAGAAGUUUCAUCUCUGGCCAAAAGUUCCUACUGUCACCCUUCUAGAGGUAAAGCCACAGCAGACUGUCCGGCCACCCAAAGUCCACGGUCACUCUUAACUGCACAACCACCAGCAAGGCAAUGGUGCCACCGAGGAAGGUAUCCCUGGCUCUGACAUCAGCUCUGCUGCCACUGGCUCCCCCAGCUCCCCCACCUUCCCUGCAUAGCUGUUCCCAUCUGACUCUCUGCCCCGGAGGGAGGAAACGGAGGCUUGCUCACUCUCUGUGGGCCUGCGACAAAGAGGGAGCUGAGACCAUGCUCUGCAGGGAUGACCUUGUUCUGGGAAGGUCUGGUGCCACCCCAGGUCUUCCUCCCUUUUCCCUGGGUCUGUCGACUCACCCCUUUCUCAGGUCCACCUUCCCUGCAGGUAUACAUCCUGUAAUUGCCCGUGCCAGGUAGUGGUGGGCAGGUGACUUUAUCCACACUAAACUCCUGGCACCUCAUCUCUCAAACCCUCCCCUAAGGAGAAGGGCAUCAGCCUAUGAGCUUCAAAGACUCAAGUUACCCAAGAGCAAAUAUCCUGGUCUUCACAGCUAACUCACCUAGGCCCCUUCUUGAGUUAGAGCAGCAUCGAAACUUGGGACUUCUGGUCUUAACCACCCCAUGUCUAGCCUUAGGAGACAGUUGACUCUCUAUAGGCAGCUGUAACUAUAUAGAGCCACAUACAUUAUGGGCUGAUAGACAUAUAUUCAUACUAGAAACCAAAUUACUUCUAUUUAUUCAUCCUGUCAGUACUUUAUUUACUUAUUCAUUCCGUCAUUCAACAAACAUUUACAGGCCACAUGAAUGUCUCCUUAAAGCCUUCCAUGAGCAACCCAAGAACCCUCCAACCUCCAGGUCAUGUCAUCACAUCACCCUUUUAUUUCCUUCACAGCAUUUACUGUAAUCUUUUGAUUUUUAUCACCUUACUGCUCAGGAUAUUGUCUCUCUCUCGCAACUAGUAAACUCCCUGAGGGUAAAGGUUCUUGCCUGCCUUGUACACAGCUGUAUCCUGGCACCUAUGUUUCCCCCUCUGAUACCUAAAGCUUAGCACAGUGCCUAGAUAUAGGAGACAAUCAAACAUCACUUGAAGACUGUGCAGCAGCUUAAAGAAUGGGGAAAGCUCAGCAUGUACCACCAUGAGAGCUUUCCAAGUCAGGCUGCUGCUUCACAAAAGCAGAGACAUCUGCCUCAUCUGAUUUCAUUUCAGUUUUACAUAAAUAUUCUGAACAAGACUAUAGAUUUUCAUAGAAACAGAUACUUAUGCAAAUGCAUGAACAGGAUCUGGAAGAGGAGGGAACAUUUGUAAACUCAUUCUACGCAGUCAUAGAUACCAAAGCCAGCCAAAGGUAAUAUAAAAAACUAGAGACCAAUAUCCCUGAUGAAUUUUGAUGCAAAAAUCCUCAACAAAAUACACAAAGCAAAUUCAACAGCACAUUAACAGGAUGACAUGCUAUGGUCAAGUUGGAUUGAUACCUGGAAUGCACGGAUAGUUCAACAUGUGAAACUCAACCAAUGUGGUAGAAAAUUGGCAGAAGGCUGUAAACCAGCUAUAAUGGAAAAAAAUAAAACUCACUUACAAAAAAAGAAAAUCAACCAAUGUAAUACACCACAUUAACAGAACGAAGGACAAAAAUCACAUGAUCAUCUCAGUUGAUACAGAAAGAGCAUGCGACAAAACUCCAUACCCUUUCAUAGUAAAAACAAUCAACAAUCUAGGAACCGAAGGAAACUACCUCAAUAUGAUAAAGGCUAUAGCUAACAUCACACUCAACAGUAAAAAAA
This 5023-nucleotide long non-coding RNA is filed under the name Sus scrofa (pig). Its description in RNAcentral is "lncRNA (ENSSSCG00025025940.1)". Lineage: Eukaryota; Metazoa; Chordata; Mammalia; Artiodactyla; Suidae. The record is from RNAcentral.